CUCGCUAUCUCCUUCGUCCUCGUCCUUUCUCCCUCCUCAUCUUGAGCAUGAUGGUCUCCUGGUACUUUGAUGGAUGAUGAUGAUGAUCAGUAGUGGGGAGCUAGAAGUGGGCGUCGAUCUAUCCUGCAGAUUAGGAAAAAGAAAGGAGCAAAGAUGGGAAGGAUAGAGCUUGUAUGAGACUGGGAGUGGAGUCGAACUUGAUUUGGGUGCAGCUCACCCUGCUACUUUGCCUAUCUGGGUGACAAAGAUCUGACAUGAAGUGGUGGAGGAGUUGCUGCUGCUUGAAUCGAUGGGAAAGAAACGGAGAUGCAGAGGCUGGUGGUCUUGAUCUGGUUUGGUCGGUGGAAAACAAGGAGCAGAGGUGAAUUCCUGGUGGAUGGUGACAGCAGUUCGGGAGCAGAGGAAGGCACUUGUUUUGUGAGUGGCUCUUCUGCUUAUGGUGGAUGGUUGAACAAGCUACUUUCUAGCAUGAAGAAGCUGAGCUUUGUCAGUUUGAGCUAGAGGACUGACCCAAGUCGAGUGUACUCUUAUCGUGAGAUUCUUCAGUUUGAGCUAGAGGGUUGUUCCAA
Molecule: long non-coding RNA, 569 nt
Organism: Sorghum bicolor (sorghum)
Lineage: Eukaryota; Viridiplantae; Streptophyta; Magnoliopsida; Poales; Poaceae
Exons: 2
Source: RefSeq, a predicted model, not a curated record